RNAcentral lists this ribosomal RNA (253 nucleotides) under uncultured bacterium. RNAcentral describes it as "partial 16S ribosomal RNA". It matches the Rfam family "Bacterial small subunit ribosomal RNA", at positions 524 to 776 of the family's 1533-position model. The record is from RNAcentral.
UACGGGGGGGGCAAGCGUUGUUCGGAAUUACUGGGCGUAAAGGGCUCGUAGGCGGCCAACUAAGUCAGACGUGAAAUCCCUCGGCUUAACCGGGGAACUGCGUCUGAUACCGGAUGGCUUGAGUUUGGGAGAGGGAUGCGGAAUUCCAGGUGUAGCGGUGAAAUGCGUAGAUAUCUGGAGGAAUACCGGUGGCGAAGGCGGCAUCCUGGACCGGCAUUGACGCUGAGGAGCGAAAGCCAGGGGAGCAAACGGG